AUUGAACGCUGGCGGCAGGCCUAACACAUGCAAGUCGAACGAGUGGCGGACGGGUGAGGAAUUUCUGGGAAACUGCCUGAGGGAGGGGGGUAAACACUGGAAACGGUAGCUAAAACCGCAAACCAACAGAUGUGGCCAGAUGGGAAUAGCUUGGUGGGGGGGGAACGGCUCACCAAGGCGACGAUCCCUAGCUGGUCUGAGAGGAUGACCAGCCACACUGGAACUGAGACACGGUCCAGACUCCUACGGGAGGCAGCAGUGGGGAAUAUUGGACAAUGGGCGCAAGCCUGAUGCAGCCAUGCCGCGUGUAUGAAGAAGGCCUUCGGGUUGUAAAGUACUUUCGGCGGGGAAGCGUUACCCGCAGAAUAAGCACCGGCUAACUCCGUGCCAGCAGCCGCGGUAAUAC
This 406-nucleotide ribosomal RNA is filed under the name uncultured bacterium. Its description in RNAcentral is "partial 16S ribosomal RNA". It matches the Rfam family "Bacterial small subunit ribosomal RNA", at positions 29 to 526 of the family's 1533-position model. The record is from RNAcentral.